RNAcentral lists this ribosomal RNA (464 nucleotides) under Vreelandella stevensii. RNAcentral's name for it is "partial 16S ribosomal RNA". It matches the Rfam family "Bacterial small subunit ribosomal RNA", at positions 338 to 795 of the family's 1533-position model. The record is from RNAcentral. Lineage: Bacteria; Pseudomonadati; Pseudomonadota; Gammaproteobacteria; Oceanospirillales; Halomonadaceae.
CCUAGGGCGGCAGCAGUGGGGAAUAUUGGACAAUGGGGGCAACCCUGAUCCAGCCAUGCCGCGUGUGUGAAGAAGGCCCUCGGGUUGUAAAGCACUUUCAGUGAGGAAGAACGCCUGGUGGUUAAUACCCAUCAGGAAAGACAUCACUCACAGAAGAAGCACCGGCUAACUCCGUGCCAGCAGCCGCGGUAAUACGGAGGGUGCGAGCGUUAAUCGGAAUUACUGGGCGUAAAGCGCGCGUAGGUGGCUUGAUAAGCCGGUUGUGAAAGCCCCGGGCUCAACCUGGGAACGGCAUCCGGAACUGUCAAGCUAGAGUGCAGGAGAGGAAGGUAGAAUUCCCGGUGUAGCGGUGAAAUGCGUAGAGAUCGGGAGGAAUACCAGUGGCGAAGGCGGCCUUCUGGACUGACACUGACACUGAGGUGCGAAAGCGUGGGUAGCAAACAGGAUUAGAUACCCGUGUAGUC